This 421-nucleotide ribosomal RNA is filed under the name uncultured Bacteroides sp. RNAcentral describes it as "bacterial SSU rRNA". It matches the Rfam family "Bacterial small subunit ribosomal RNA", at positions 356 to 774 of the family's 1533-position model. The record is from RNAcentral. Lineage: Bacteria; Pseudomonadati; Bacteroidota; Bacteroidia; Bacteroidales; Bacteroidaceae.
GGGGAAUAUUGGUCAAUGGGCGCGAGCCUGAACCAGCCAAGUAGCGUGAAGGAGGAUGGCCCAAGGGGUUGUAAACUUCUUUUUGAGGGGAAUAAAGGGAGGCCCGUGUGCCUGAUGGUAGGUACCUUAGUAAUAAGAAUCGGUUAACUCCGUGCCAGCAGCCGCGGUAAUACGGAGGAUGCAAGCGUUAUCCGGAUUUAUUGGGUUUAAAGGGAGCGUAGGCGGACUAUUAAGUCAGCUGUGAAAGUUUACGGCUCAACCGUGAAAUUGCAGUUGAAACUGGUCGUCUUGAGUGCAGUAAAGGUGGGCGGAAUUCGUGGUGUAGCGGUGAAAUGCUUAGAUAUCACGAAGAACUCCAAUUGCGAAGGCAGCUCACUGGAGUGUAACUGACGCUGAUGCUCGAAAGUGUGGGUAUCAAACA